GUCCACUAGCUAGCUCACCCACCUAAACCCAAUAACCCCCUAUUUAUAACCCCAAAUUAAACUACCAACAUUUUUAAACAAAUCAUUUUUCCCCCCAAGUAUGGGCGACAGAAAAGGACCUCUCGUAAGCAACAGCAAUAGUACCGCAAGGGAACGCUGAAAGAGAAAUGAAACAAAUCAGUUAAGCAUAAGAAAGCAGAGCUCAGCCCUCGUACCUUUUGCAUCAUGAUUUAGCAAGAAAGCAUCAAGCAAAAAGUCUUUUAGUUUGAUACCCCGAAACCAAGUGAGCUACUCCAAGACAGCCUUUAGGGCGCACCCGUCUCUGUGGCAAAAGAGUGGGAUGAUCUUUGAGUAGAGGUGACAGACCUACCGAACCUGGUUAUAGCUGGUUGUCCAAGAAUCGAAUAGGAGUUCAGCCUUUUGCCAUCUUUCCCCAAACACCGGCCACUCCCCAAGAGUUAAAGAUAGGCAAGGGAGUUAAUCAAAGGGGGUACAGCCCCUUUGAAAAAGAUACAACUUUACCAGAAGGGUUAAGAUCAUAUCAUUCACUUAAAGGACCGUGUUCUAGUUGGCCUAAGAGCAGCCACCCACACAGAAAGCGUUAAAGCUCAAACACCCCUCCUUCCCAUCAUUUAGACCACCCCAAUCUUACCCCCCUACACCUACUGGACCUUCCCAUACCCCUAUGGGAGAGACUAUGCUAAUAUGAGUAAUAAGAGACCCCGCGUCUCUCCCUGCACAAGUGUACAUCGGAACGAACUAACACCGAAAAUUAACGGCCCCAUUCCCAGAGGGAAAUGGAACAUUAUGAUCAAGCCACUAGAAACACACCCAAAUCACCGAACCGUUAACCUUACACCAGAGUGCAUACAAGGAAAGACUAAAAGAAAAAGAAGGAACUCGGCAAACACUUCUAGCCUCGCCUGUUUACCAAAAACAUCGCCUCUUGCAAUUUAAGAAUAAGAGGUCCCGCCUGCCCAGUGACUAUAGUUUAACGGCCGCGGUACUCUGACCGUGCGAAGGUAGCGCAAUCACUUGUCUCUUAAAUGGAGACCUGUAUGAAUGGCAUUACGAGGGCUAAGCUGUCUCCUUUUUCAAGUCAAUGAAAUUGAUCUCCCCGUGCAGAAGCGGGGAUACCCACAUAAGACGAGAAGACCCUAUGGAGCUUUAGACACUAAAGCAGACCAUGUUAAGGAACCCCCAACAAGGGCCUGAACCUAGUGAUUGCUGCUCGACUGUCUUUGGUUGGGGCGACCACGGAGAAAAACGAAACCCCCGUGUGGAACAGGGGCAGCCCCCCUUAAACCCAGAGUGACAACUCUAAUGAACAGAACUUCUGACCAAACACGAUCCGGCAAAGCCGAUCAACGGACCGAGUUACCCUAGGGAUAACAGCGCAAUCCCCUUCUAGAGCCCAUAUCGACAAGGGGGUUUACGACCUCGAUGUUGGAUCAGGACAUCCUAUUGGCGCAGCCGCUACUAAGGGUUCGUUUGUUCAACGAUUAAAGUCCUACGUGAUCUGAGUUCAGACCGGAGUAAUCCAGGUCAGUUUCUAUCUAUGACAUGAUUUUUUCUAGUACGAAAGGACCGAAAAAAAGAGGCCUAUGUUAACAACACACCUCACCCUCACCUGAUGACGACAACUAAACCAGAUAAGAGGGCAUAUUCCCUUGUCUAAGAGAAAGACUG
RNAcentral lists this ribosomal RNA (1689 nucleotides) under Taeniamia macroptera (dusky-tailed cardinalfish). RNAcentral's name for it is "16S ribosomal RNA". The stretch from base 99 to 1610 matches the Rfam family "Bacterial large subunit ribosomal RNA". Lineage: Eukaryota; Metazoa; Chordata; Actinopteri; Kurtiformes; Apogonidae. The record is from RNAcentral.